Molecule: ribosomal RNA, 781 nt
Filed under: Dentiscutata heterogama
Lineage: Eukaryota; Fungi; Glomeromycota; Glomeromycetes; Diversisporales; Gigasporaceae
Description: eukaryotic LSU rRNA
Rfam family: Eukaryotic large subunit ribosomal RNA
Source: RNAcentral
GACCUCAAGUCAUGUGAGAGUACCCGCUGAACUUAAGCAUAUCAAUAAGCGGAGGAAAAGAAACUAACAAGGAUUCCCCUAGUAACGGCGAGUGAAGCGGGAAGAGCACAAAUUUAAAAUCUACCUGGUUUCCAGGUCGAGUUGUAAUUUGAAGAAACGUUUUUGACGUUCCGAGUUGGGAUAAAUCCUUUGGGAUGAGGUAUCAUGGAGGGUGAGAAUCCCGUGUAUACCAACCGCAGGGAUGUUAUUUAAUACGUUUUCUAAGAGUCGAGUUGUUUGGGAAUGCAGCUCUAAAUGGGUGGUAAAUUUCACCUAAUGCUAAAUAUAAGCGAGAGACCGAUAGCGAACAAGUACCGUGAGGGAAAGAUGAAAAGAACUUUGAAAAGAGAGUUAAAUAGUACGUGAAAUUGUUGAAAGGGAAACGAUUGAAGUCAGUCAUGCCGGCGGGAAUCAACUUAGGGGAAACUUUAAGUGCACUUCACGUUUGGCAGGUCAGCGUCGAUUUUGGAUAUCAUAAAAUGAUUGGGGGAAGGUAGCUCUUUCGGGAGUGUUAUAGCCCUUGAUAGAUGUGAUGUCUGGGAUCGAGGAUUGCAACGGAUAUCCUUUGGGCUAGCCGCCUGAUCUCUAACUGGUGUUAGGUUACGGACAGCAUGCUGACCGUGAUUUAAUUACUGGUUAAAAGGUUAGAGCGAGUGUAAAUUCGUUAAGGACGCUGACGUAAUGGCUUUAAACGACCCGUCUUGAAACACGGACCAAGGAGUCUAACAUGUGUGCGAGUGUU